UAAUACGUAGGUGGCGAGCGUUGUCCGGAUUUAUUGGGCGUAAAGCGCGCGCAGGCGGUGCGGUAAGUCUGUCGUGAAAUCUCCCGGCUCAACUGGGAGGGUGCGGUGGAGACUGCCGGACUGGAGGCACUCAGAGGCCGGUGGAAUUCCCGGUGUAGUGGUGAAAUGCGUAGAGAUCGGGAGGAACACCAGUGGCGAAGGCGGCCGGCUGGGGGUGACCUGACGCUGAGGCGCGAAAGCGUGGGGAGCGAACCGGAUUAGAUACCCGGGUAGUCCACGUUGUAAACGAUGGCCACUAGAUGUGGGGGGUAUCGACCCCCUCCGUGUCGGCGCUAACGCAGUAAGUGGCCCGCCUGGGGAGUACGGCCGCAAGGCUA
Molecule: ribosomal RNA, 377 nt
Filed under: uncultured bacterium
Lineage: Bacteria
Description: bacterial SSU rRNA
Rfam family: Bacterial small subunit ribosomal RNA
Source: RNAcentral